CCUACGGGUGGCAGCAGUGAGGAAUAUUGGUCAAUGGGCGCUAGCCUGAACCAGCCAAGUCGCGUGAAGGAUGACUGCCCUAUGGAUUGUAAACUUCUUUUGUAUGGGAGUAAAAUACGCCAUGUGUGCUGCUUUGCAUGUACCUUAUGAAUAAGCAUCGGCUAACUCCGUGCCAGCAGCCGCGGUAAUACGGAGGAUCCGAGCGUUAUCCGGAUUUAUUGGGUUUAAAGGGAGCGUAGGCGGGGUGUUAAGUCAGUGGUUAAAGUUGGGGGCUCAACCCUAAACGUGCAGUUGAUACUGGUAUUCUUGAGUACAGGAGAGGUAGGCGGAAUUCGUGGUGUAGCGGUGAAAUGCAUAGAUAUCACGCAGAACUCCGAUUGCGAAGGCAGCAUGCUGGACUGUAACUGACGCUGAUGCGCGAAAGUGUGGGUAUCAAACAGGAUUAGAUACCCCUGUAGUC
Molecule: ribosomal RNA, 460 nt
Filed under: uncultured bacterium
Lineage: Bacteria
Description: partial 16S ribosomal RNA
Rfam family: Bacterial small subunit ribosomal RNA
Source: RNAcentral